GAUGAAGAACGUAGCGAAAUGCGAUAAGUAAUGUGAAUUGCAGAAUUCAGUGAAUCAUCGAAUCUUUGAACGCACCUUGCACCCUUUGGCAUUCUGAAGGGUAUGCUCGUUUGAGUGUCAUUGUACUCUCACACUCCCGAUCUUUGCAUUGGGAGCAGUGGACUUGGGUUUGCUGCUUCACCGUCGCUUACCUCAAAUAGGUUAGUGCAACUCUUGGUUGGACAUAGUACGGCGUGAUAAGUGUUCUUCGCCGGUGCCUCGCAAAGAGGGUGGCCGAUCGGGAUGUUGUGCUCCAAACCGUCUUCGGACAAUCUCUGACGACUUGACCUCAAAUCGAGUAAGACUACCCGCUGAACUUAAGCAUAUCAAUAAGCGGAAGGA
RNAcentral lists this unclassified non-coding RNA (381 nucleotides) under soil metagenome. RNAcentral's name for it is "partial contains 5.8S ribosomal RNA, internal transcribed spacer 2, and large subunit ribosomal RNA". The stretch from base 1 to 120 matches the Rfam family "5.8S ribosomal RNA", at positions 35 to 154 of the family's 154-position model. The record is from RNAcentral.